GCCCGCGCCUGGGCUGCGCCGCGCUUCGCAACGUGUCCGGCGCGCAGUACAUGGGCUCAGGCUACACCAAGGCCGUGUACCGGGUCCGCCUGCCCGGCGGCGCCGCGGUGGCGCUCAAGGCGGUGGACUUUAGCGGCCACGAUCUGGGCAGCUGCGUGCGCGAGUUCGGGGUACGGAGGGGCUGCUAUCGGCUGGCGGCCCACAAGCUGCUUAAGGAGAUGGUGCUGCUGGAGCGGCUGCGGCACCCCAACGUGCUGCAGCUCUAUGGCUACUGCUACCAGGACAGCGAGGACAUCCCAGACACCCUGACCACCAUCACGGAGCUGGGCGCCCCUGUAGAAAUGAUCCAGCUGCUGCAAACUUCCUGGGAGGAUCGAUUCCGAGUGAGCUCAGAGGAGGGCUCGGGCCCUGGGCUCCUUGCAAGGAUGGUUCUGCCUUAGAAGGCCAGCCCUCCAAAGCAGCUCCCACUCCUCCUCCACCCAGGGAGAGGGAGGGAGGAAGGCGCACAGGCUGACUCAGCCACCGGCCAAAGGGUUCAAAAAAGAAGCAAGACUUAAAGGAU
RNAcentral lists this small RNA (562 nucleotides) under Pan troglodytes (chimpanzee). RNAcentral's name for it is "retained intron". The record is from RNAcentral. Lineage: Eukaryota; Metazoa; Chordata; Mammalia; Primates; Hominidae.